UUGGGCUGAAUAAUCGAGUGAGGAUUACCCAACUUAGAGGGUGCAGUUGUCUUUUACCACCUUUUUUCAUCUUUUUAGUGUUUAUAUUUUUUUAUUUUAUUCUCUAAAUAAAUCAUACAUACAUGUGAUAAAAAAUAUGCCAGCCUUUUAAAAUAAAUUACUCGAAAAGUACUUCUUAGAAUCCAAGUACUAUGGUACAAAAUAUGCGCUAAACUCGCAAACUAU
Molecule: long non-coding RNA, 225 nt
Filed under: Lathyrus oleraceus (garden pea)
Lineage: Eukaryota; Viridiplantae; Streptophyta; Magnoliopsida; Fabales; Fabaceae
Description: Pisum sativum (pea) long non-coding RNA (PSAT_LNC029899)
Source: RNAcentral